CACUCCUACGGGAGGCAGCAGUGGGGAAUUUUGGACAAUGGGCGAAAGCCUGAUCCAGCAAUGCCGCGUGAGUGAAGAAGGCCUUCGGGUUGUAAAGCUCUUUUGUCAGGGAAGAAACGGUGAAAGCUAAUAUCUUUUGCUAAUGACGGUACCUGAAGAAUAAGCACCGGCUAACUACGUGCCAGCAGCCGCGGUAAUACGUAGGGUGCAAGCGUUAAUCGGAAUUACUGGGCGUAAAGCGUGCGCAGGCGGUUUUGUAAGUCUGAUGUGAAAUCCCCGGGCUCAACCUGGGAAUUGCAUUGGGGACUGCAAGGCUAGAAUCUGGCAGAGGGGGGUAGAAUUCCACGUGUAGCAGUGAAAUGCGUAGAUAUGUGGAGGAACACCGAUGGCGAAGGCAGCCCCCUGGGUCAAGAUUGACGCUCAUGCACGAAAGCGUGGGGAGCAAACAGGAUUAGAAACCCGGGUAGUCC
This 470-nucleotide ribosomal RNA is filed under the name uncultured organism. Its description in RNAcentral is "partial 16S ribosomal RNA". It matches the Rfam family "Bacterial small subunit ribosomal RNA", at positions 334 to 796 of the family's 1533-position model. The record is from RNAcentral.